AUUCCCAUUGCCCAACCCGAAGACCCCUCCCACUUUAGCUGCCACUGGCACAUGUGUCAUCCGCACUGUUUUUGUCGUGCUUUCGUAGGGAUGACAGUGUGUGUUUAGUACUGGGAGGGUUACUUA
Non-coding RNA from Caenorhabditis elegans, 126 nucleotides. NCBI's taxonomy places the organism in Eukaryota, Metazoa, Nematoda, Chromadorea, Rhabditida, Rhabditidae. The record is from Ensembl.